Molecule: ribosomal RNA, 987 nt
Filed under: Ammotium pseudocassis
Lineage: Eukaryota; Foraminifera; Textulariida; Lituolidae
Description: bacterial SSU rRNA
Rfam family: Eukaryotic small subunit ribosomal RNA
Source: RNAcentral
AAGGGCACCACAAGAACCGGUGGAGCAUGUGGCUUAAUUUGACUCAACGCGGGAAAUCUUACCGGGUCCGGACACACUGAGGAUUGACAGGCAAUAUUAAAAUGCUUUUCUUGCGUGCAAGAGAACAUUUUAUGUCAAAUAUGCUAGUCCUUUCAUGAUUAUGUGAUAGGUGGUGCAUGGCCGUUCUUAGUUUGUGGAGUGAUCUGUCUGCUUAAUUGCGUUUCACUAAGGACUCAGAUAUCAUGUGUGUUUGCAGCUGGCUCUGACCCUUCAUUGUGUGUCUUUGUUCAGUUUGCGCACACUUCCGAGUCCUCAUUGCAACGAACGUGACCGCAACCUCUUGUUGCCUUUAGCUUUAUGCAGCUAGUGGCUUGAGCAUUUUUUUGCUUAAAGUUUACUGCUGCUAUUAAAGGCUUUUUAAAACUAGAGGGACCGCUGUAAUCUUUUAAACCAGAGGAAGGUUGCGGCAAUAACAGGUCUGUGAUGCCCUUAGAUGUUCCGGGCUGCACACGUGCUACAAUGAUUAUUGCAGUGAGCAUCUCAAUUGAUACACCGUUUGUGUUGUUGAGCUAUUUUUAAUAGUUUUUUACGACACACGGUAAAGCCUGCUUCGAAAGUAAGUGGGUAAUCAAUUAGAAGUAAUGAUUUCCCUUUUUAGCACACCUAUGCACGGCUGUUGCGUCCGGUCUAAGUUUACUUAGGCUCGCGUACGUAGCAGUUUUUUCGUGCGUGCAAUUGUUAAUUCAUGGUGGGGACAGACCAUUGUUAAUUGUUGGUCUCGGUCUCAACUAGGAAUGCCUUGUACGGGUCUUUGGUUCAACAGACCACCCGGAAUACGUCCCUGCCCUUUGUACACACCGCCCGUCGCUCUUACCGAUGGACUUCUCUGUGAGUUUGAGGGACUGGAUCUUGCAUCUAUGGAAACUUAAACGAACAGUGUGGUCUAAAGGAAAGAGAAGUCGUAACAAGGCAUCGGUAGGUGAACCU